This 1348-nucleotide ribosomal RNA is filed under the name metagenome. Its description in RNAcentral is "bacterial LSU rRNA". It matches the Rfam family "Bacterial large subunit ribosomal RNA", at positions 1564 to 2925 of the family's 2925-position model. The record is from RNAcentral.
UGAGUGCGAGCUGCUACGGCAGCGAAGUUGGUGACGUCAAGCUUCCAAGAAAAGCCCUAUACCCGUUAAGGCAUCAUGGCCUGUACCCGAAACCGACACAGGUGGGGUGGUAGAGAAUACCGAGGGGCGCGAGGUAACUCUCUCUAAGGAACUCGGCAAAAUGGCCCCGUAACUUCGGGAGAAGGGGUGCCACCGCAAGGUGGUCGCAGUGAAGAGGCCCAGGCGACUGUUUACCAAAAACACAGGUCUCCGCUAAGUCGCAAGACGAUGUAUGGGGGCUGACGCCUGCCCAGUGCCGGAAGGUUAAGGAAGCUGGUCAGCGCAAGCGAAGCUGGCGACUGAAGCCCCGGUGAACGGCGGCCGUAACUAUAACGGUCCUAAGGUAGCGAAAUUCCUUGUCGGGUAAGUUCCGACCCGCACGAAAGGCGUAACGAUCUGGGCGCUGUCUCGGAGAGAGGCUCGGCGAAAUAGAAUUGUCUGUGAAGAUGCGGACUACGUGCACCCGGACAGAAAGACCCUAUGAAGCUUUACUGUAGCUUGGUAUUGUGCCCGGGCUCUGAAUGCGCAGGAUAGGUGGGAGGCUUUGAUCAUCGGCUUGCGGGUCGAUGUGAGCCAACGGUGAGAUACCACUCUUUCAGAGCUAGGGUUCUAACAGUCACCCGUUAUCCGGGGACUGGACAGUAUCAGGUGGGCAGUUUGACUGGGGCGGUCGCCUCCUAAAAGGUAACGGAGGCGCGCAAAGGUCUGCUCAGGCUGGUUGGAAAUCAGCCGACGAGUGUAAAAGCAGAAGCAGGCUUGACUGUGAGACCUACGAGUCGAACAGGGAGGAAACUCGGCUUUAGUGAUCCGACGGUUCUGCGUGGAAGGGCCGUCGCUCAACGGAUAAAAGUUACUCUAGGAUAACAGGCUGAUCUCCCCCAAGAGUUCACAUCGACGGGGAGGUUUGGCACCUCGAUGUCGGCUCAUCGCAACCUGGGGCUGAAGUCGGUCCCAAGGGUUGGGCUGUUCGCCCAUUAAAGCGGUACGCGAGCUGGGUUCAGAACGUCGUGAGACAGUUCGGUCCAUAUCCGGUGCAUGCGCAGGAAUAUUGAGAGGAGUUCUCCCUAGUACGAGAGGACCGGGAGGAACGCACCUCUGGUGUACCAGUUAUCGUGCCAACGGUAAACGCUGGGUAGCCAUGUGCGGAGAGGAUAACCGCUGAAAGCAUCUAAGUGGGAAGCCCACCUCAAGAUGAGUAUUCCCAUGGCGUUAGCCAGUAAGGUCACGGGAAGAACACCCGUUGAUAGGCUCUAUGUGGAAGCGCAGUAAUGCGUGAAGCAGAGGAGUACUAAUAGACCGAGGGCUUGAC